Molecule: ribosomal RNA, 481 nt
Filed under: uncultured Coriobacteriaceae bacterium
Lineage: Bacteria; Bacillati; Actinomycetota; Coriobacteriia; Coriobacteriales; Coriobacteriaceae
Description: partial 16S ribosomal RNA
Source: RNAcentral
CACGUAGUUAGCCGGAGCUUCUUCUGCAGGUACCGUCGUGGUCUUCCCUGCUGAAAGCGGUUUACGACCCGAGGGCCUUCGUCCCGCACGCGGCGUUGCUGCGUCAGGGUUUCCCCCAUUGCGCAAAAUUCCCCACUGCUGCCUCCCGUAGGAGUCUGGGCCGUAUCUCAGUCCCAAUGUGGCCGAUCGACCUCUCAGUCCGGCUACCCAUCGUCGGCUAGGUGGGCCUCUACCCCGCCUACUACCUAAUGGGCCGCGACCCCAUCCCGCGCCGUCGGGGCUUUCCCGCCGCCCCCAUGCGGGGGCCGCGGAGUAUCCGGUAUUAGCCGCCGUUUCCAGCGGUUGUCCCGGAGCGCGGGGCAGGUUGGUCACGUGUUACUCACCCGUUCGCCACUGUAUGUCCGCCCGAGGGCGGUUUAACCGUUCGACUUGCAUGUGUUAGGCACGCCGCCAGCGUUCAUCCUGAGCCAGGAUCAAACUC